CCUACGGGAGGCAGCAGUGGGGAAUAUUGGACAAUGGGCGCAAGCCUGAUCCAGCAAUGCCGCGUGUGUGAAGAAGGCCUUAGGGUUGUAAAGCACUUUCAGUGGGGAAGAAAAGCGAGGCGCUAAUAUCGCCUCGUCAUGACGUUACCCACAGAAGAAGCACCGGCUAACUCCGUGCCAGCAGCCGCGGU
This 191-nucleotide ribosomal RNA is filed under the name uncultured bacterium. Its description in RNAcentral is "partial 16S ribosomal RNA". It matches the Rfam family "Bacterial small subunit ribosomal RNA", at positions 338 to 521 of the family's 1533-position model. The record is from RNAcentral.